CGAGGUAUAGCUUUAAUAAAGCAUUUUAUUUACAUUAAAAAGUUAAUUGUUGAAUUCAGUUUAUCUUGA
Molecule: transfer RNA, 69 nt
Filed under: Ptomascopus plagiatus
Lineage: Eukaryota; Metazoa; Arthropoda; Insecta; Coleoptera; Silphidae
Description: tRNA-Val
Source: RNAcentral